This 73-nucleotide transfer RNA is filed under the name Scleropages formosus (Asian bonytongue). Its description in RNAcentral is "tRNA-Pro". The record is from RNAcentral. Lineage: Eukaryota; Metazoa; Chordata; Actinopteri; Osteoglossiformes; Osteoglossidae.
AGCUGGUAGCGUAGGGAUCAGCGCUGGUGCCUCGGGACCCACAGGUCGAGGGUUCGAUUCCCACUUCCAGUUG